GUGACAGCAGCCGCGGUAACACGUAGGGACCAAGCGUUGUCCGGAUUUAUUGGGCGUAAAGAGCUCGUAGGCGGCUUGGUAAGUCGGGUGUGAAACCUCCAGGCUCAACCUGGUGACGCCACCCGAUACUGCCAUAGCUUGAGUUCGGUAGGGGAGUGGGGAAUUCCUGGUGUAGCGGUGAAAUGCGCAGAUAUCAGGAGGAACACCGGUGGCGAAGGCGCCGCUCUGGGCCGAAACUGACGCUGAGGAGCGAAAGCGUGGGGAGCAAACAGGAUUAGAUACUCUCGUAGUCC
RNAcentral lists this ribosomal RNA (293 nucleotides) under uncultured bacterium. RNAcentral describes it as "partial 16S ribosomal RNA". It matches the Rfam family "Bacterial small subunit ribosomal RNA", at positions 505 to 796 of the family's 1533-position model. The record is from RNAcentral.